RNAcentral lists this ribosomal RNA (229 nucleotides) under uncultured bacterium. RNAcentral's name for it is "partial 16S ribosomal RNA". It matches the Rfam family "Bacterial small subunit ribosomal RNA", at positions 568 to 796 of the family's 1533-position model. The record is from RNAcentral.
UUCGCAGGGGGCCAAUUAAGUCUGAUGUGAAAGCCCGGGGCUCAACCCCGGAAUUGCAUUGGAUACUGAUUGGCUAGAGUACCGGAGAGGAAAGCGGAAUUCCUGGUGUAGCGGUGGAAUGCGUAGAUAUCAGGAGGAACACCGAGAGCGAAGGCAGCUUUCUGGACGGUUACUGACCCUCAGGGACGAAGGCAUGGGGAGCAAACAGGAUUAGAUACCCUGGUAGUCC